UCGGACUGUGGUCUGCAACCCGACCACACGAAGCUGGAAUCGCUAGUAAUCGCGGAUCAGAAUGCCGCGGUGAAUACGUUCCCGGGCCUUGUACACACCGCCCGUCACACCAUGAGAGUUGGGGAUACCCAAAGCCCGUGAGCCAACUUUUAAAGAGGCAGCGGUCUAAGGUAGAAUCAAUGAUUGGGGUGAAGUCGUAACAAGGUAGC
RNAcentral lists this ribosomal RNA (209 nucleotides) under uncultured bacterium. RNAcentral describes it as "partial 16S ribosomal RNA". It matches the Rfam family "Bacterial small subunit ribosomal RNA", at positions 1293 to 1500 of the family's 1533-position model. The record is from RNAcentral.